RNAcentral lists this ribosomal RNA (253 nucleotides) under uncultured bacterium. Its description in RNAcentral is "partial 16S ribosomal RNA". It matches the Rfam family "Bacterial small subunit ribosomal RNA", at positions 524 to 776 of the family's 1533-position model. The record is from RNAcentral.
UACGUAGGGUGCGAGCGUUAAUCGGAAUUACUGGGCGUAAAGUGUGCGCAGGCGGCCGCGCAAGUCGAGUGUGAAAGCCCCGAGCUUAACUUGGGAAUUGCGCUCGAAACUACGUGGCUGGAGUGUGGCAGGGGAAGGUGGAAUUCCACGUGUAGCGGUGAAAUGCGUAGAGAUGUGGAGGAACACCAAUGGCGAAGGCAGCCUUCUGGGCCAACACUGACGCUCAUGCACGAAAGCGUGGGGAGCAAACAGG